This 670-nucleotide long non-coding RNA is filed under the name Bos taurus (domestic cattle). RNAcentral's name for it is "long non-coding RNA NONBTAT030060". The record is from RNAcentral. Lineage: Eukaryota; Metazoa; Chordata; Mammalia; Artiodactyla; Bovidae.
CUCCACAACACACUACUUCCAUGAUGGCUAUUUAUUGAAUGAAUGAAUGAUUCCUAGUAAACUGACCUUUCUAGAAUAACUCUGGAUUCUUUUGCUUACAAAACCUCUAUUUUUCAUAGAUUAGUGUUCCACAUUUUUCAGAAUGUUUUUUCAUGCAGGGAAUGGGGGAGAGAGAAGAAAACCACUCUGUCUCUUGCUGUCUCCCCAGUCCAGUCAGCCUGGGAGGAGAGAACGGUCUUGAUAAACUAAUUCCCUGAUCUUUACUCUGAGUGACAGAAAGACACACCCAUAUAGGUCACCCCAACUCUUUUCUUUUCACCUCAGUAAAGGGUAAUUUCAAGAGGAUGUCAUCUCCCCUCAGUCUUCCAAGCACUUCACCCAACUGUUGUCUUUAAGGCUCCCAGCAAGUUACUGGAGCUGGAAGAAUAGGAAGAAAGGGCCAGUGUGGAGGCCUCGAAAGCUCUGGCAGCCAAAAGACUAUUCUAUUUUGCAGCAGUCUUUAAGGUAUCUCCUAAUCUGAGUCAUCUGAUUUCUUUUUUAUCCAUGAAUUUGUCUCCAGAGAUGGUUCUCUCAUCUGCUGGAAGCUGAUGGGGUGCAGGGUUUGAAUUCUGAUCGUUUACAGUUUUAAGUCUUGGUUUACCCGGAAGACCCACGGGUCAGUCUUUUUUUU